GGGUCCAGAGUAAUGCCGGGGUCCUUCAGUAGAAGCCAAGGUUGCUCUGGAGUUCAUGAGACUGGUGUCUGUGGACCUCAAGAAGACAUGUUAUGAAGGCCUGGACAGUCAUCUUUCUAAGCUCCUUGAAUUCUACUGGGCCAAGAGUGGUGGAGGGAUGGAGCUAAAACACCUUAUAGACAUUCUUGACAAAGACAGUUCCAAUCAUAGGAAGAGGGUGCUGUGCUCCGAGGCUUGCCAGACGUCCUGCGAGAAGACCCUACCUAUUUUUGGAAGACGUGAGAAGACAACUGAUUCUGGGGAAGUCACCCACUGAGUGAAAAUCGGUAUACUUGUCGUUGUGGAAGGAGCUGCAGCAGAUGACCCAAUGCCAGCUGACAAUGUGGACGUUGCCCUUGUGAUAGAAGAGCAGGUGAUCAUACAUGAGCUUCACAAUGUCCCAAAUACCUUUGCCACUUUGAUUGGGCUUCUUUAUUGUCUGAACAAGGAUCACCAAACAUGUUUGAGGUACACUUUUGAGGUAGUUCAGAAAAUGUUCUUGAAGAUUGGUGCAGAAAACUGUACAGCAAAAGUGCAAUGGCUGAAGAACCGUCUUCUUCGUUAAAACAUCUACUUGGUGUGUUUUUGUUUUACUGGCAUUAGUUGAGUUAAUUCCUCAGACAACGAUGCUGUUAUUUGCCUAAAUCUUACAAAUCUCAGUUUUGGGAAGACUUAAGUUAUCUUAUUUUUACAUGUGAUCUUCAGUCUACAAACUACAACCGUCUUUUGUUAGAGACCAUUGAUUUGCUGCCAUCUCUUCCCAUUAACUGCAGUGCAUUCUGAAAAAUUAUAACAUGCUGUAAACAUUUUCUCACUCAACACCAACUUGUCUUAGAAACCAUUCAGAAGGUUGUCUUUGAUCAGUGUUUGAUUAUUAUUAUUUUUUACCAUGCCGUAAAACUGUGUUUCAAUGGUACCAUUUACAAAUGUGUAUGGGUUUAUUGGACAGUGGAUUCUUUUUUAUUUUUUUUGACAAAACUUUUAU
Molecule: long non-coding RNA, 1024 nt
Organism: Oncorhynchus kisutch (coho salmon)
Lineage: Eukaryota; Metazoa; Chordata; Actinopteri; Salmoniformes; Salmonidae
Exons: 4
Source: RefSeq, a predicted model, not a curated record